UUAAGCGACUAAGCGUACACGGUGGAUGCCCUGGCAGUCAGAGGCGAUGAAGGACGUGCUAAUCUGCGAAAAGCGUCGGUAAGGUGAUAUGAACCGUUAUAACCGGCGAUGUCCGAAUGGGGAAACCCAGUGCAAUUCGUUGCACUAUCGUUAACUGAAUACAUAGGUUAACGAGGCGAACCGGGGGAACUGAAACAUCUAAGUACCCCGAGGAAAAGAAAUCAACCGAGAUUCCCCCAGUAGCGGCGAGCGAACGGGGAGCAGCCCAGAGUCUGAAUCAGCUUGUGUGUUAGUGGAACGGUCUGGAAAGUCCGACGGUACAGGGUGAUAGUCCCGUACACCAAAAUGCACAGGCUGUGAACUCGAAGAGUAGGGCGGGACACGUGGUAUCCUGUCUGAAUAUGGGGGGACCAUCCUCCAAGGCUAAAUACUCCUGACUGACCGAUAGUGAACCAGUACCGUGAGGGAAAGGCGAAAAGAACCCCGGCGAGGGGAGUGAAAAAGAACCUGAAACCGUGUACGUACAAGCAGUGGGAGCACCUUCGGGUGUGACUGCGUACCUUUUGUAUAAUGGGUCAGCGACUUAUAUUCUGUAGCAAGGUUAACCGUAUAGGGGAGCCGCAGGGAAACCGAGUCUUAACUGGGCGUUAAGUUGCAGGGUAUAGACCCGAAACCCGGUGAUCUAGCCAUGGGCAGGUUGAAGGUUGGGUAACACUAACUGGAGGACCGAACCGACUAAUGUUGAAAAAUUAGCGGAUGACUUGUGGCUGGGGGUGAAAGGCCAAUCAAACCGGGAGAUAGCUGGUUCUCCCCGAAAGCUAUUUAGGUAGCGCCUCGUGAAUUCAUCUUCGGGGGUAGAGCACUGUUUCGGCUAGGGGGUCAUCCCGACUUACCAACCCGAUGCAAACUACGAAUACCGAAGAAUGUUAUCACGGGAGACACACGGCGGGUGCUAACGUCCGUCGUGAAGAGGGAAACAACCCAGACCGCCAGCUAAGGUCCCAAAGUCAUGGUUAAGUGGGAAACGAUGUGGGAAGGCACAGACAGCCAGGAUGUUGGCUUAGAAGCAGCCAUCAUUUAAAGAAAGCGUAAUAGCUCACUGGUCGAGUCGGCCUGCGCGGAAGAUGUAACGGGGCUAAACCAUGCACCGAAGCUGCGGCAGCGACACUAUGUGUUGUUGGGUAGGGGAGCGUUCUGUAAGCCUGCGAAGGUGUGCUGUGAGGCAUGCUGGAGGUAUCAGAAGUGCGAAUGCUGACAUAAGUAACGAUAAAGCGGGUGAAAAGCCCGCUCGCCGGAAGACCAAGGGUUCCUGUCCAACGUUAAUCGGGGCAGGGUGAGUCGACCCCUAAGGCGAGGCCGAAAGGCGUAGUCGAUGGGAAACAGGUUAAUAUUCCUGUACUUGGUGUUACUGCGAAGGGGGGACGGAGAAGGCUAUGUUAGCCGGGCGACGGUUGUCCCGGUUUAAGCAUGUAGGCUGGUUGUCCAGGCAAAUCCGGAUAAUCAAGGCUGAGGUGUGAUGACGAGGCACUACGGUGCUGAAGUAACAAAUGCCCUGCUUCCAGGAAAAGCCUCUAAGCAUCAGGUAACAUCAAAUCGUACCCCAAACCGACACAGGUGGUCAGGUAGAGAAUACCAAGGCGCUUGAGAGAACUCGGGUGAAGGAACUAGGCAAAAUGGUGCCGUAACUUCGGGAGAAGGCACGCUGGUGUGUAGGUGAAGCCCCUGCGGGUGGAGCUGAGACCAGUCGAAGAUACCAGCUGGCUGCAACUGUUUAUUAAAAACACAGCACUGUGCAAACACGAAAGUGGACGUAUACGGUGUGACGCCUGCCCGGUGCCGGAAGGUUAAUUGAUGGGGUUAUCCGUAAGGAGAAGCUCUUGAUCGAAGCCCCGGUAAACGGCGGCCGUAACUAUAACGGUCCUAAGGUAGCGAAAUUCCUUGUCGGGUAAGUUCCGACCUGCACGAAUGGCGUAAUGAUGGCCAGGCUGUCUCCACCCGAGACUCAGUGAAAUUGAACUCGCUGUGAAGAUGCAGUGUACCCGCGGCAAGACGGAAAGACCCCGUGAACCUUUACUAUAGCUUGACACUGAACAUUGAGCCUUGAUGUGUAGGAUAGGUGGGAGGCUUUGAAGCGUGGACGCCAGUCUGCGUGGAGCCAACCUUGAAAUACCACCCUUUAAUGUUUGAUGUUCUAACGUUGGCCCCUGACCGGGGUUGCGGACAGUGUCUGGUGGGUAGUUUGACUGGGGCGGUCUCCUCCCAAAGCGUAACGGAGGAGCACGAAGGUUAGCUAAUCCUGGUCGGACAUCAGGAGGUUAGUGCAAUGGCAUAAGCUAGCUUGACUGCGAGCGUGACGGCGCGAGCAGGUGCGAAAGCAGGUCAUAGUGAUCCGGUGGUUCUGAAUGGAAGGGCCAUCGCUCAACGGAUAAAAGGUACUCCGGGGAUAACAGGCUGAUACCGCCCAAGAGUUCAUAUCGACGGCGGUGUUUGGCACCUCGAUGUCGGCUCAUCACAUCCUGGGGCUGAAGUAGGUCCCAAGGGUAUGGCUGUUCGCCAUUUAAAGUGGUACGCGAGCUGGGUUUAGAACGUCGUGAGACAGUUCGGUCCCUAUCUGCCGUGGGCGCUGGAGAAUUGAGGGGGGCUGCUCCUAGUACGAGAGGACCGGAGUGGACGCAUCACUGGUGUUCGGGUUGUCAUGCCAAUGGCACUGCCCGGUAGCUAAAUGCGGAAGAGAUAAGUGCUGAAAGCAUCUAAGCACGAAACUUGCCCCGAGAUGAGUUCUCCCUGAGACUUUAAGUCUCCUGAAGGAACGUUGAAGACGACGACGUUGAUAGGCCGGGUGUGUAAGCGCAGCGAUGCGUUGAGCUAACCGGUACUAAUGAACCGUGAGGCUUAACCU
Molecule: ribosomal RNA, 2899 nt
Filed under: Klebsiella pneumoniae
Lineage: Bacteria; Pseudomonadati; Pseudomonadota; Gammaproteobacteria; Enterobacterales; Enterobacteriaceae
Description: 23S ribosomal RNA
Rfam family: Bacterial large subunit ribosomal RNA
Source: RNAcentral